GACGAACGCUGGCGGCACGCCUAACACAUGCAAGUCGAACGAGAAGGUAGCUUCGGUUACUGGACAGUGGCGGACGGGUGAGUAACACGUGGGAACAUGCCUUUUGGUACGGAACAACCAUUGGAAACGAUGGCUAAUACCGUAUACGCCCUUUGGGGGAAAGAUUUAUCGCCGAAAGAUUGGCCCGCGCUAGAUUAGUUAGUUGGUAAGGUAAUGGCUUACCAAGGCUACGAUCUAUAGCUGGUUUGAGAGGAUGAUCAGCCACACUGGGACUGAGACACGGCCCAG
Molecule: ribosomal RNA, 288 nt
Filed under: uncultured bacterium
Lineage: Bacteria
Description: partial 16S ribosomal RNA
Rfam family: Bacterial small subunit ribosomal RNA
Source: RNAcentral